AUUGAACGCUGGCGGCAGGCCUAACACAUGCAAGUCGAGCGGAGCGGCGGACGGGUGAUUAAUGCCUGGGAAUCAGCCUGGUAGUGGGGGAUAACGACCGGAAACGGGCGCUAAUACAGCAUACUAUCAGAUGAGUCUAGGUCGUAUGAGCUAGCUGGUGGGGUAAUGGCCUACCAAGGCGACGAUCCGUAACUGGUCUGAGAGGAUGAUCAGUCACACUGGAACUGAGACACGGUCCAGACUCAUACGGGAGGCAGCAGUGGGGAAUAUUGGACAAUGGGCGAAAGCCUGAUCCAGCCAUGCCGCGUGUGUGAAGAAGGUCUUCGGAUUGUAAAGCACUUUAAGUAGGGAGGCGUUACCAACAGAAUAAGCACCGGCUAACUACGUGCCAGCAGCCGCGGUAAUUC
Molecule: ribosomal RNA, 407 nt
Filed under: uncultured bacterium
Lineage: Bacteria
Description: partial 16S ribosomal RNA
Rfam family: Bacterial small subunit ribosomal RNA
Source: RNAcentral